GCAUCAAUGCUGGAUGUCAUAGUAAAUCUAUGGGGCCUAUCACAGCCAGCUUUGAUGAGCC
This 61-nucleotide microRNA precursor is filed under the name Octopus bimaculoides (California two-spot octopus). RNAcentral's name for it is "Obi-Mir-2-o45-v1_pre stem-loop". The record is from RNAcentral. Lineage: Eukaryota; Metazoa; Mollusca; Cephalopoda; Octopoda; Octopodidae.